This 700-nucleotide ribosomal RNA is filed under the name uncultured bacterium. RNAcentral describes it as "bacterial SSU rRNA". It matches the Rfam family "Bacterial small subunit ribosomal RNA", at positions 56 to 746 of the family's 1533-position model. The record is from RNAcentral.
UGCAAGUCGAACGGGAUCAUUGAUGUAGCAAUACAGCAAUGGUCUAGUGGCGAACGGGUGCGUAACACGUGGAUACAUUCCGGGAAGCGGGGGAUAGCCCAGGGAAACUUGGAUUAAUACCGCAUGUGAUCGAAAGAUCAAAGACGGGGACCGCAAGGCCUGUCACUUCCCGAUUGGUCCGCGGCUUAUCAGCUAGUUGGCGGGGUAACGGCCCACCAAGGCAACGACGGGUAGCUGGUCUGAGAGGACGACCAGCCACACUGGAACUGAGACACGGUCCAGACACCUACGGGUGGCAGCAGUCGAGAAUCUUUCACAAUGGGGGCAACCCUGAUGGAGCGACGCCGCGUGGAGGAUAAGGUCUUCGGAUUGUAAACUCCUGUCAUGUGUGAACAAGGUUGCGGGGCUAAUACCUUUGCAAAUUGAUGGUAACACAAGAGGAAGAGACGGCUAACUCUGUGCCAGCAGCCGCGGUAAUACAGAGGUCUCAAGCGUUGUUCGGAAUCACUGGGCGUAAAGGGUGCGUAGGUGGCGUGGUAAGUCAGAUGUGAAAGCCCGGGGCUCAACCUCGGAAUUGCAUCCGAUACUGCUAUGCUCGAGUACUGAAGAGGUGACUAGAAUUCUAGGUGUAGCAGUGAAAUGCGUAGAUAUCUAGAGGAAUACCAAAGGCGAAGGCAGGUCACUGGGCAGUUACUGACAC